Non-coding RNA from Dipodomys ordii (Ord's kangaroo rat), 145 nucleotides. The record is from Rfam. NCBI's taxonomy places the organism in Eukaryota, Metazoa, Chordata, Mammalia, Rodentia, Heteromyidae.
AUACUUACCUGGCAAUGAAGAUACCAGGAUCACAAAGGUGGUUUUCCUGGGGUAACACUCACCCAUUGCAUUAGGGAUUUGCCUAUUUCUGUAAUUUCCUCAAAGGGGGAAAAUUGACUGCAUUAUUUGUGAUAAUGGGGCUGCA